UACGUAGGGUGCAAGCGUUGUCCGGAAUUAUUGGGCGUAAAGAGCUCGUAGGCGGUUCGGUAAGUCGGGUGUGAAAACUCUGGGCUCAACCCAGAGCCGCCACCCGAUACUGCUGUGACUCGAGUGCGGUAGGGGAGCGGGGAAUUCCUGGUGUAGCGGUGAAAUGCGCAGAUAUCAGGAGGAACACCAGUGGCGAAGGCGCCGCUCUGGGCCGUGACUGACGCUGAGGAGCGAAAGCGUGGGUAGCAAACAGG
This 254-nucleotide ribosomal RNA is filed under the name uncultured bacterium. Its description in RNAcentral is "partial 16S ribosomal RNA". It matches the Rfam family "Bacterial small subunit ribosomal RNA", at positions 524 to 776 of the family's 1533-position model. The record is from RNAcentral.